GUCACAUAGGAAAGCAUUCAUAAUGCUUUCCUAUGGACGCUGGUGUGCUCUCACUGUGAAAAUCACAGUGAGAAGCAUGCAAGCGCCUCUAGUGGCUGUCAAUGAGACAGCCACUAGAGGAUUAGGGGGAAGGCUUAACCCAUUAAUAAACAUAGCAGUUUCUCUGAAACUGCUAUGUUUAUGAAAAAAUGGGUUAACUCUAGCUGGAC
Molecule: non-coding RNA, 209 nt
Organism: Pelobates cultripes (western spadefoot toad)
Lineage: Eukaryota; Metazoa; Chordata; Amphibia; Anura; Pelobatidae
Source: the annotation of a GenBank genome assembly